Molecule: ribosomal RNA, 1373 nt
Filed under: uncultured bacterium
Lineage: Bacteria
Description: bacterial SSU rRNA
Rfam family: Bacterial small subunit ribosomal RNA
Source: RNAcentral
GAUGAACGCUGGCGGCGUGCCUAAUACAUGCAAGUCGAGCGAACGGACGAGAAGCUUGCUUCUCUGAUGUUAGCGGCGGACGGGUGAGUAACACGUGGAUAACCUACCUAUAAGACUGGGAUAACUUCGGGAAACCGGAGCUAAUACCGGAUAAUAUUUUGAACCGCAUGGUUCAAAAGUAAAAGACGGUCUUGCUGUCACUUAUAGAUGGAUCCGCGCUGCAUUAGCUAGUUGGUAAGGUAACGGCUUACCAAGGCAACGAUGCAUAGCCGACCUGAGAGGGUGAUCGGCCACACUGGAACUGAGACACGGUCCAGACUCCUACGGGAGGCAGCAGUAGGGAAUCUUCCGCAAUGGGCGAAAGCCUGACGGAGCAACGCCGCGUGAGUGAUGAAGGUCUUCGGAUCGUAAAACUCUGUUAUUAGGGAAGAACAUAUGUGUAAGUAACUGUGCACAUCUUGACGGUACCUAAUCAGAAAGCCACGGCUAACUACGUGCCAGCAGCCGCGGUAAUACGUAGGUGGCAAGCGUUAUCCGGAAAUAUUGGGGGUAAAGCGCGCGUAGGCGGUUUUUUUAAGUCUGAUGUGAAAGCCCACGGCUCAACCGUGGAGGGUCAUUGGAAACUGGAAAACUUGAGUGCAGAAGAGGAAAGUGGAAUUCCAUGUGUAGCGGUGAAAUGCGCAGAGAUAUGGAGGAACACCAGUGGCGAAGGCGACUUUCUGGUCUGUAACUGACGCUGAUGUGCGAAAGCGUGGGGAUCAAACAGGAUUAGAUACCCUGGUAGUCCACGCCGUAAACGAUGAGUGCUAAGUGUUAGGGGGUUUCCGCCCCUUAGUGCUGCAGCUAACGCAUUAAGCACUCCGCCUGGGGAGUACGACCGCAAGGUUGAAACUCAAAGGAAUUGACGGGGACCCGCACAAGCGGUGGAGCAUGUGGUUUAAUUCGAAGCAACGCGAAGAACCUUACCAAAUCUUGACAUCCUUUGACAACUCUAGAGAUAGAGCCUUCCCCUUCGGGGGACAAAGUGACAGGUGGUGCAUGGUUGUCGUCAGCUCGUGUCGUGAGAUGUUGGGUUAAGUCCCGCAACGAGCGCAACCCUUAAGCUUAGUUGCCAUCAUUAAGUUGGGCACUCUAAGUUGACUGCCGGUGACAAACCGGAGGAAGGUGGGGAUGACGUCAAAUCAUCAUGCCCCUUAUGAUUUGGGCUACACACGUGCUACAAUGGACAAUACAAAGGGCAGCGAAACCGCGAGGUCAAGCAAAUCCCAUAAAGUUGUUCUCAGUUCGGAUUGUAGUCUGCAACUCGACUACAUGAAGCUGGAAUCGCUAGUAAUCGUAGAUCAGCAUGCUACGGUGAAUACGUUCCCGGGUCU